Molecule: transfer RNA, 69 nt
Filed under: Bos taurus (domestic cattle)
Lineage: Eukaryota; Metazoa; Chordata; Mammalia; Artiodactyla; Bovidae
Also listed under: 2 other names
Rfam family: tRNA
About the family: Transfer RNA (tRNA) molecules are approximately 80 nucleotides in length. Their secondary structure includes four short double-helical elements and three loops (D, anti-codon, and T loops).
Source: Rfam by way of RNAcentral
CCUGGUGGCUUAGAAGAUAAAGCAUCUGCCUACAAUGCAGGAGACCCAGGUUCGAUCCCUGGGUCAGGA